GACGGACGCUGGCGGCGUGCUUAACACAUGCAAGUCGAACGGAAAGGCCCUGCGUUUGUGUGUUUCUCGUUUGGCGAACGGGUGAGUAACACGUGAGGAACCUGCCCUUGACUUUGUGAUAACUUCAGGAAACUCCGGCUAAUACCGGAUAGGAUCUCCUGCUGCAUGGUGGUGGUUGGAAAGUUUCGGCGGUUGGGUAUGGACUCGCGGCUUAUCAGCUUGUUGGUGGGGUAGUGGCUUACCAAGGCUUUGACGGGUAGCCGGCCUGAGAGGGUGACCGGCCACAUUGGGACUGAGAUACGGACCAGACUCCUACGGGAGGCAGCAGUGGGGAAUAUUGCACAAUGGGCGGAAGCCUGAUGCAGAAACGCCGCGUGCGGGAUGCCGGCCUUCGGGUUGUAAACCGCUUUCGAAUGUGACGAGGCGUGCGUGACGGUAAUGAGUAAAGAAGCAACGGCUAACUACGUG
Molecule: ribosomal RNA, 468 nt
Filed under: uncultured bacterium
Lineage: Bacteria
Description: partial 16S ribosomal RNA
Rfam family: Bacterial small subunit ribosomal RNA
Source: RNAcentral